UAAUACGGAGGGUGCAAGCGUUGUUCGGAAUCAUUGGGCGUAAAGGGCGCGUAGGCGGGUCGUUAAGUCCGACGUGAAAUCCCUCGGCUCAACUGAGGAAGUGCAUCGGAUACUGGCGGUCUUGAGUCCUGGAGAGGGUAGCGGAAUUCCCAGUGUAGAGGUGAAAUUCGUAGAUAUUGGGAGGAACACCGGUGGCGAAGGCGGCUACCUGGACAGUGACUGACGCUGAGGCGCGAAAGCAUGGGUAGCAAACAGGAUUAGAUACCCUGGUAGUCCAUGCCGUAAACGAUGGGUGCUAGUUGGUGCGGGUAUUGACCCCUGCGCUGACGAAGCUAACGCAUUAAGCACCCCGCCUGGGGAGUACGGCCGCAAGGUUA
This 377-nucleotide ribosomal RNA is filed under the name uncultured bacterium. RNAcentral describes it as "bacterial SSU rRNA". It matches the Rfam family "Bacterial small subunit ribosomal RNA", at positions 521 to 896 of the family's 1533-position model. The record is from RNAcentral.